CACUUAGAUGGAGCUUGCUGGUUUUGAAGAAGCUGGAAUGGAAAUGUACGUAGAAAGUAUCUUCCUGAUGGAAUGUGCAAUUUCAAGUGGCCAUAGAUGGUGUGGGGGCUGGGAGCAGUAGACAGUUUAUGCAAGCAAGGCAGGAAAGUCUGGCACUUCCAUCCACUGAGAGUCAAGAGCACUUGCAGAGGACAGCAGUAGAUGCUAGAAACAAGGCAGGAUUUUCCAGGAUGCAGCACACAAUAUCUGGAAAGAGCAGAGGCUCAUCAGAUAUCCAGGACAAACGUGGAUAUUCUCGAGGGUGAACGGUGAAGGGUGAGUUAGGGAGCAUUAAGGAGAUUCUCAGAUGAGUUUUUCCUUAUAUAUCUCUGUGUUAUCCAUUUUUACGUGGCUAGGGAUGCCUCACAGGAAUCUACCAGUUACAAUUUGUGCUAGCUGGGCACUGUCAGUUACAGCAAUCUGCAAAAAUUCCCACGAGUGAUUAAGCCUACUUGAGUUGUUCCUUGAACUUACUAUGUGAAUGCAGUCUCUUCUAUCAUUUUCAUUCUGUUGCAUGCA
Molecule: non-coding RNA, 558 nt
Organism: Jatropha curcas
Lineage: Eukaryota; Viridiplantae; Streptophyta; Magnoliopsida; Malpighiales; Euphorbiaceae
Source: RefSeq, a predicted model, not a curated record